This 610-nucleotide unclassified non-coding RNA is filed under the name Portulaca oleracea. RNAcentral describes it as "partial contains 18S rRNA, ITS1, 5.8S rRNA, ITS2 and 28S RNA". The stretch from base 229 to 384 matches the Rfam family "5.8S ribosomal RNA". The record is from RNAcentral. Lineage: Eukaryota; Viridiplantae; Streptophyta; Magnoliopsida; Caryophyllales; Portulacaceae.
UCGAAACCUGCCCAGCAGAACGACCUGUGGACGAGUAAACAUCACACGCGGCGAGGGGUGCUUCGGCCCCCUCCUCGUGCCGGGGGAGCCCCCCUCGUGGGGGUGCCCCCGGGGCAACAACGAACCCCGGCGCGGACUGCGCCAAGGAACACAAACUCAUGGCGUGCCCGCCCGCGAACGGUUCGCACGGCGCGCGGGGGCGGCACCUGUCCCUACUUAAAACGUAACGACUCUCGGCAACGGAUAUCUCGGCUCUCGCAUCGAUGAAGAACGUAGCGAAAUGCGAUACUUGGUGUGAAUUGCAGAAUCCCGUGAACCAUCGAGUCUUUGAACGCAAGUUGCGCCCGAAGCCUUCUGGCUGAGGGCACGUCUGCCUGGGCGUCACGCUUCGCGUCUCCCCCCGCCCUCGUGGAGGGGGAUGGAUGAUGGCCUCCCGUGCCCCGGUCGGGGCGCGGCUGGCCUAAAAUCGGAGCCGAGGACGACGAGCUGUUGUGGCGAUUGGUGGUUGACGAGGCUUAACGGCCUGUUUACAUCGCGCCGCUGGAGCACGCUGUUGGGAUGGGCUUGUUGGACCCAUGGGUGGCUCAAGCCACGCAAAACCGUUGCGACC